AUACAUGCAGUAGAACGCUGAAGACUUUAGCUUGCUAAAGUUGGAAGAGUUGCGAACGGGUGAGUAACGCGUAGGUAACCUGCCUACUAGCGGGGGAUAACUAUUGGAAACGAUAGCUAAUACCGCAUAACAGCUUUUAACUCAUGUUAGGAGCUUGAAAGAUGCAAUUGCAUCACUAGUAGAUGGACCUGCGUUGUAUUAGCUAGUUGGUGAGGUAACGGCUCACCAAGGCGACGAUACAUAGCCGACCUGAGAGGGUGAUCGGCCACACUGGGACUGAGACACGGCCCAGACUCCUACGGGAGGCAGCAGUAGGGAAUCUUCGGCAAUGGGGGCAACCCUGACCGAGCAACGCCGCGUGAGUGAAGAAGGUUUUCGGAUCGUAAAGCUCUGUUGUAAGAGAAGAACGUGUGUGAGAGUGGAAAGUUCACACAGUGACGGUAACUUACCAGAAAGGGACGGCUAACUACGUGCCAGCAGCCGCGGUAAUACGUAGGUCCCGAGCGUUGUCCGGAUUUAUUGGGCGUAAAGCGAGCGCAGGCGGUUUAAUAAGUCUGAAGUUAAAGGCAGUGGCUUAACCAUUGUUCGCUUUGGAAACUGUUAGACUUGAGUGCAGAAGGGGAGAGUGGAAUUCCAUGUGUAGCGGUGAAAUGCGUAGAUAUAUGGAGGAACACCGGUGGCGAAAGCGGCUCUCUGGUCUGUAACUGACGCUGAGGCUCGAAAGCGUGGGGAGCAAACAGGAUUAGAUACCCUGGUAGUCCACGCCGUAAACGAUGAGUGCUAGGUGUUAGGCCCUUUCCGGGGCUUAGUGCCGCAGCUAACGCAUUAAGCACUCCGCCUGGGGGAGUACGACCGCAAGGUUGAAACUCAAAGGAAUUGACGGGGGCCCGCACAAGCGGUGGAGCAUGUGGGUUUAAUUCGAAGCAACGCGAAGAACCUUACCAGGUCUUGACAUCCCGAUGCUAUUCCUAGAGAUAGGAAGUUUCUUCGGAACAUCGGUGACAGGUGGUGCAUGGUUGUCCUCAGCUCUUGUCCUGAGAUGUUGGGGUUAAGUCCCGCAACGAGCGCAACCCCCUAUUGUUAGUUGCCAUCAUUAAGGUGGGGCACUCUACCGAAACUGCCGGUUAUAACCCGGAGGAAGGUGGGGGAUGAGGUCGAAUCAUCAAGCCCCCUUAAGAACCGGGGCUACCACCCGGGUUGAAAUGUUUGGU
RNAcentral lists this ribosomal RNA (1211 nucleotides) under Streptococcus equinus. Its description in RNAcentral is "bacterial SSU rRNA". It matches the Rfam family "Bacterial small subunit ribosomal RNA", at positions 51 to 1238 of the family's 1533-position model. The record is from RNAcentral. Lineage: Bacteria; Bacillati; Bacillota; Bacilli; Lactobacillales; Streptococcaceae.